UACAGAGGGUGCGAGCGUUGUCCGGAAUCACUGGGCGUAAAGGGCGCGUAGGCGGCUGGGUAAGCGUGUGGUGAAAGUCCGGGGCUCAACCCCGGAUCGGCCAUGCGAACUGUCCAGCUGGAGCACGGUAGAGGCAGAUGGAAUUCCGGGUGUAGCGGUGGAAUGCGUAGAGAUCCGGAAGAACACCAGUGGCGAAGGCGGUCUGCUGGGCCGUGGACCGCAAGGUCCUUAUAGCUGACACUGAGGCGCGACAGCGUGAGGAGCAACAGG
This 270-nucleotide ribosomal RNA is filed under the name uncultured bacterium. RNAcentral describes it as "partial 16S ribosomal RNA". It matches the Rfam family "Bacterial small subunit ribosomal RNA", at positions 524 to 775 of the family's 1533-position model. The record is from RNAcentral.